Fundulus heteroclitus (mummichog) is the source of this 229-nucleotide long non-coding RNA. RefSeq lists it as uncharacterized. The transcript has 3 exons. Lineage: Eukaryota; Metazoa; Chordata; Actinopteri; Cyprinodontiformes; Fundulidae. The record is from RefSeq and is a predicted model, not a curated record.
AGCUGCUGACCUCUAGCUGCUGAAAACAGGAACUUUCUGCUGGGAGUUGCAGGCAGGCUGGGAAUGACAGCAGACAGCAAGGAAAUAAUGAACAAAUUAGGACUUUUCUUCUGCAACAUCAGCUGAAUAAACAGGAAACUAGUGAGCCAGUACUGACCAACUCCAGGAGACAGCAUGGCAGCUGCAGAGCUUGAUGAUGGCAGCUCAAUGAAGCGCUGCGGGAGCAACG